AGGGGAUGAGUUGUGGAUAGGGGUGAAAGGCCAAUCAAACACCGUGAUAGCUGGUUCUCCCCGAAAUGCAUUUAGGUGCAGCGUUGCGUGGUUCUUGUUGGAGGUAGAGCACUGGAUGGUCUAGGGGGCUUAUCGGCUUACCGAAAUCAGCCAAACUCCGAAUGCUGGCAAGUGUAGCGUGGCAGUGAGACGGCGGGGGAUAAGCUUCGUCGUCGAGAGGGAAACAGCCCAGAUCAUCAGCUAAGGCCCCUAAGUGGUGACUCAGUGGGAAAGGAUGUGGAGUUGCGUAGACAACCAGGAGGUUGGCUUGGAAGCAGCCAUCCUUGAAAGAGUGCGUAAUAGCUCACUGGUCAAGUGAUUCCGCGCCGAUAAUGUAGCGGGGCUUAAG
This 388-nucleotide ribosomal RNA is filed under the name Oxyrrhis marina. RNAcentral's name for it is "partial Bacterial large subunit ribosomal RNA". It matches the Rfam family "Bacterial large subunit ribosomal RNA", at positions 799 to 1186 of the family's 2925-position model. Lineage: Eukaryota; Dinophyceae; Oxyrrhinales; Oxyrrhinaceae. The record is from RNAcentral.